This 255-nucleotide ribosomal RNA is filed under the name uncultured bacterium. RNAcentral's name for it is "partial 16S ribosomal RNA". It matches the Rfam family "Bacterial small subunit ribosomal RNA", at positions 524 to 776 of the family's 1533-position model. The record is from RNAcentral.
UACGUAGGGUGCAAGCGUUGUCCGGAAUUAUUGGGCGUAAAGAGCUCGUAGGCGGUCUGUCGCGUCGGCUGUGAAAACCCGGGGCUCAACCCCGGGCCUGCAGUCGAUACGGGCAGACUAGAGUGCGGUAGGGGAGACUGGAAUUCCUGGUGUAGCGGUGAAAUGCGCAGAUAUCAGGAGGAACACCGGUGGCGAAGGCGGGUCUCUGGGCCGUAACUGACGCUGGAGGAGCGAAAGCCGUGGGGAGCGAACAGG